RNAcentral lists this ribosomal RNA (789 nucleotides) under uncultured bacterium. Its description in RNAcentral is "bacterial SSU rRNA". It matches the Rfam family "Bacterial small subunit ribosomal RNA", at positions 8 to 780 of the family's 1533-position model. The record is from RNAcentral.
AGAGUUUGAUCAUGGCUCAGAUUGAACGCUGGCGGUAACUUUUAAACAUGCAAGUCGAGCGGUAACAGACAUAAAGAUUCAGCUUGCUGAAUCCGGUGCUGACGAGCGGCGAACGGGUGAGUAACGCGUAGGAAUCUACCCAGUAGCGGGGGAUAGCCCGAGGAAACUCGGAUUAAUACCGCAUACGCCCUGAGGGGGAAAGGGGGCAGUUUACUGCUCUCACUAUUGGAUGAGCCUGCGUAAGAUUAGCUUGUUGGUAGGGUAAUGGCCUACCAAGGCGACGAUCUUUAGCUGGUCUGAGAGGACGAUCAGCCACAUUGGGACUGAGACACGGCCCAGACAUCUACGGAUGGCAGCAGUUAAGAAUAUUGGACAAUGGGGGCAACCCUGAUCCAGGUAUACCGCGUGUGUGAAGAAGGCCCUAGGGUUGUAAAGCACUUUAAUCAGAGAAGAAGCAUUUUAAGUUAAUACCUUAUUAUGUUGACGUUACCUGAAGAAUAAGGACCGGCUAACUCCGUGCCAGCAGCCGCGGUAAUACGGAGGGUCCAAGCGUUAAUCGGAAUUACUGGGCGUAAAGCGCGCGUAGGCGGUUUAGCAAGUUGUAUGUGAAAGCCCUGGGCUCAACCUAGGAACUGCAUCCAAAACUACUAAGCUAGAGUACGAGAGAGGAGAGUAGAAUUUCUGGUGUAGCGGUGAAAUGCGUAGAUAUCAGAAGGAAUACCAAUGGCGAAGCAGCUCUCUGGCUCGUCACUGACGCUGAGUGCGAAAGCGUGGGUAGCAACAGGAUUA